RNAcentral lists this ribosomal RNA (468 nucleotides) under uncultured bacterium. RNAcentral's name for it is "partial 16S ribosomal RNA". It matches the Rfam family "Bacterial small subunit ribosomal RNA", at positions 28 to 507 of the family's 1533-position model. The record is from RNAcentral.
GACGAACGCUGGCGGCGUGCUUAACACAUGCAAGUCGAACGGAAAGGCCCUGCUUUUGUGGGGUGCUCGAGUGGCGAACGGGUGAGUAACACGUGAGUAACCUGCCCUUGACUUUGGGAUAACUUCAGGAAACUGGGGCUAAUACCGGAUAGGAGCUCCUGUUGCAUGGUGGGGGUUGGAAAGUUUCGGCGGUUGGGGAUGGAUUCGCGGCUUAUCAGCUUGUUGGUGGGGUAGUGGCUUACCAAGGCUUUGACGGGUAGCCGGCCUGAGAGGGUGACCGGCCACAUUGGGACUGAGAUACGGCCCAGACUCCUACGGGAGGCAGCAGUGGGGAAUAUUGCACAAUGGGCGGAAGCCUGAUGCAGCAACGCCGCGUGCGGGAUGACGGCCUUCGGGUUGUAAACCGCUUUCGCCUGUGACGAAGCGUGAGUGACGGUAAUGGGUAAAGAAGCACCGGCUAACUACGUG